Molecule: long non-coding RNA, 201 nt
Filed under: Elaeis guineensis (African oil palm)
Lineage: Eukaryota; Viridiplantae; Streptophyta; Magnoliopsida; Arecales; Arecaceae
Description: long non-coding RNA (EGUI_LNC006693)
Source: RNAcentral
GAGAUUGAGUGGAUCUAGAGCUUUCCGAUGCUAAAACAAGUUGAAAGGGAGGAACAUGGCAUCGCUCUUCAUCAAUCAUCGGAUCCCGAUCAGAUCUUGAUCGAAGGGCCAAGAUCGAAGGAGAAGAACAGUUGGAAAAAAAGCAUGAACCUCAAACCAGUUCAAUUCUCCAAAUAAAAACCCACUUGACAGAAAGAACUC